Molecule: non-coding RNA, 357 nt
Organism: Zonotrichia albicollis (white-throated sparrow)
Lineage: Eukaryota; Metazoa; Chordata; Aves; Passeriformes; Passerellidae
Source: RefSeq, a predicted model, not a curated record
CUUUCUGUUGCACUUAAGUCCAGAUUCUCUCUGGCCAUUCCUGCUCACGAGCGGAGAGCGACACAGCACCACGGUGCCUAAAGACCACAGGUGGGUCCUGUGCUUCAAGCCAAUUUACUCACAUUUGCGAUGACAAGAGAAGACCCUACUUGCCUUAAAGCCUGAUUGGUUUCUUCCAGCCUUAGUAGCUGAUGUAAAGAAAGAAAAUGCUUCUUCUUACAAUCCUGGACAGAACUCUUCAAGUCAUCUUGGAGACUGGAAAGACUGUGGAUUUUUCUGGGAAGAAUGUUUCUUCAGCUCUUAUUUCUGCACUCCAAACAGAUGUAAUAAAUUCUGCACAAACACAGAUAAGCAUAA